AUUUUGCUAAAGUCCGGAUUACUUUACCAUAGUUUCGGUAUGUUACCCCUCUCUUGCAUUUCUCUAAAAUAAUUACAAAUUGCUUCGCUGUCGCCUUCACCAAGUCGUAACCGGCGGACUUUUUCAAUAUAAUUACGAGCGUCCUUCUCUCCAAAUGUUAAGUUUUCAUACCCACCAGCCUCAACAGCAAUAGAAUUAAAACUUUUAUUCAAUUUAAUUCCAGCACGAUCAUUAAGAUCAAGCCGCCUCUUGACACUUCAAUCUAUAAUUCGAUUGCAA
Molecule: long non-coding RNA, 279 nt
Filed under: Ananas comosus (pineapple)
Lineage: Eukaryota; Viridiplantae; Streptophyta; Magnoliopsida; Poales; Bromeliaceae
Description: long non-coding RNA (ACOM_LNC001951)
Source: RNAcentral